CAGUCUGCAGCCAGGAGGGCGGGCACGUCCUGCGCGAACUGUCAGACCACCACUACCACCCUGUGGAGGAGAAAUGCCAACGGCGAUCCCGUCUGUAACGCCUGCGGGCUCUACUACAAGCUGCACAAUAUUAACAGACCCCUGACUAUGAAGAAAGAAGGAAUUCAGACCAGAAACCGAAAAAUGUCUAGCAAAUCCAAAAAGUGCAAAAAGGUCCAUGACAACCUUGAAGACUUUCCCAAGAGCAGCUCCUUUAACCCCGCCGCCCUCUCCAGACACAUGUCCUCCAUCAGCCACAUUUCACCUUUCAGUCACUCCAGCCACAUGCUGACUACACCGACACCGAUGCAUCCUCCAUCCAGCCUCUCCUUUGGACCUCACCAUCCUUCCAGUAUGGUCACUGCCAUGGGUUAGCAAGAGACUCCCCUGCUGAAUGCUUACGGUCUCAAAAUGAGAUUUACUUUAUAUACUUGCAUUUUUGCAGGCGUGUGGUUAUGGGUCUGACGUCCCGAAUCAAAUGGGAGGGGGAAAAA
Molecule: long non-coding RNA, 533 nt
Organism: Nestor notabilis (Kea)
Lineage: Eukaryota; Metazoa; Chordata; Aves; Psittaciformes; Psittacidae
Exons: 2
Source: RefSeq, a predicted model, not a curated record